This 442-nucleotide ribosomal RNA is filed under the name uncultured bacterium. Its description in RNAcentral is "bacterial SSU rRNA". It matches the Rfam family "Bacterial small subunit ribosomal RNA", at positions 29 to 524 of the family's 1533-position model. The record is from RNAcentral.
AACGAACGCUGGCGGCAGGCUUAACACAUGCAAGUCGAACGCCCCGCAAGGGGAGUGGCAGACGGGUGAGUAACGCGUGGGAAUCUACCGUACCCUACGGAAUAGCUCCGGGAAACUGGAAUUAAUACCGUAUACGCCUACGGGGAAGAUUUAUCGGGGUAUGAUGAGCCCGCGUUGGAUUAGCUAGUUGGUGGGGUAAAGGCCUACCAAGGCGACGAUCCAUAGCUGGUCUGAGAGGAUGAUCAGCCACAUUGGACUGAGACACGGCCCAAACUCCUACGGGAGGCAGCAGUGGGGAAUAUUGGACAAUGGGCGCAAGCCUGAUCCAGCCAUGCCGCGUGAGUGAUGAAGGUCUUAGGAUUGUAAAGCUCUUUCACCGAUGAAGAUAAUGACGGUAGUCGGAGAAGAAGCCCGGCUAACUUCGUGCAGCAGCCGCGGUAAU